Molecule: long non-coding RNA, 807 nt
Organism: Cryptomeria japonica (Japanese cedar)
Lineage: Eukaryota; Viridiplantae; Streptophyta; Pinopsida; Cupressales; Cupressaceae
Exons: 2
Source: RefSeq, a predicted model, not a curated record
UAUGCCUCUGCUGUAAGUUUAUCAAUGAUUAUUUUUUCUGCUGUUAUAAUUUUGUUAUCACCUAGUUGGGCCUCCAUAGAAUCUUCAAUUUCGCAAUAGUUUUACCUGCAUUUUUUAACAGACUUGAAGUUUCAAUGUCUAGAAGACUUCUGCAAUCAAUCAAUGAUUAGAAUUUCUGAUGUUUUAUGGACAAACAAUUGUUUAAACUUGGAAUUCUUACAUUUAAUAGAAUUUUCUUUUAUGAUUCAAAGUCUAGAAUCAUGGAGCUGGAGCGGGGCCCCUGGUCAGAUUGGCUAAAGAAUCUUGUUGCGGGCAAGAGGGCACGAGAUCCCAAUGGUCAAACUAAAAAGCUAUAGUGAAUAUGCAGAAUAGGAGAAAGAAAUAAUGACUGUACAGAUACAACAGAAAGCAAAUGCUAUACAAGACCAGAAACUGUGAUAAUUCUACAGGAUGAACUUCUCUUGAGAAAGUUUGCAAGGGUUCUCUAAAGGAGGUUCAAAGUCUCUUAAAAGGAGAUAAUGGAUAAGAGGAAUCUAACCAGACUAAUACGGAUCAUCUUAAGCACAUAGUGGUUAAGCGUUAAAAGAGCUAGUAUGAGUAUCUAAUAUCUACACUAACAAUUAACGGUUAGUGAAUCCUAAGUUGGUGUGCAACCUAAUUAACUCAAGUUAAUAAUGAUCUUGUAGGUGGAUCAAGGACCAAACCAUGUUCUUAAUUUUAUUAAAGCUGGAUAAGCUCGACAAUUGUUUCACAAUCAUUAUUCUACUAGUCUUCACAACAUUAAGUGGAAUUUUAGCUUUUGAACUA